Molecule: long non-coding RNA, 368 nt
Filed under: Phoenix dactylifera (date palm)
Lineage: Eukaryota; Viridiplantae; Streptophyta; Magnoliopsida; Arecales; Arecaceae
Description: long non-coding RNA (PDAC_LNC006169)
Source: RNAcentral
GAGGAGGUGGAGUAGGUUGGUCUCCCUCCUAGAGGCCCUCUUAGAUCAGCAGGGUGAGGAGUGGCUAGACAUCGAUCCCUUUUGAGAUAGGGAGCUCGAGGAUCGAUGCAUCCUAUCUUAUUCAGGGCUCUGAGGAUGAGAAUGGUGGUUGCACAGGGUCCUCCACGAGCUCUAAGGAUGGAGGCGAUAAUUUUGUUGUGUCCGCCCUAGACUCCAAGGAGGAGAGUGGUGGCUUGGCUGCGUUGGGACUCUAUGGUCGCUCGGCUUGCGAUUGUUGCUAUUAUUGCUGGUGGUGGUGCUUGGCAGUUGUCUGCUGCAGGUUCUAGAUGAUUAUAGUCAGUGCAUGAACCUGUUGUAUAAGCAACUGA